CUGGUGUUCGGGUUGUCAUGCCAAUGGCACUGCCCGGUAGCUAAAUGCGGAAAAGAUAAGUGCUGAAAGCAUCUAAGCACGAAACUUGCCCCGAGAUGAGUCUUCCCUGAGACUUUGAGUCUCCUGAAGGAACGUUAAAGACGAUGACGUUGAUAGGCCGGGUGUGUAAGCGCAGCGAUGCGUUGAGCUAACCGGUACUAAUGAACCGUGAGGCUUAACCUU
RNAcentral lists this ribosomal RNA (222 nucleotides) under Salmonella enterica. Its description in RNAcentral is "partial 23S ribosomal RNA". It matches the Rfam family "Bacterial large subunit ribosomal RNA", at positions 2709 to 2925 of the family's 2925-position model. The record is from RNAcentral. Lineage: Bacteria; Pseudomonadati; Pseudomonadota; Gammaproteobacteria; Enterobacterales; Enterobacteriaceae.